This 385-nucleotide ribosomal RNA is filed under the name uncultured bacterium. RNAcentral's name for it is "bacterial SSU rRNA". It matches the Rfam family "Bacterial small subunit ribosomal RNA", at positions 123 to 541 of the family's 1533-position model. The record is from RNAcentral.
AAUCUGCCCUCAGGAGGGGGAUAACGGCUGGAAACGGCCGCUAAUACCCCAUAUGCCGCGAGGUGAAAUGAAUUUCGCCUGAGGAUGAGCUCGCGUCUGAUUAGCUAGUUGGUGGGGUAAAGGCCUACCAAGGCAUCGAUCAGUAGCUGGUCUGAGAGGAUGAUCAGCCACACUGGGACUGAGACACGGCCCAGACUCCUACGGGAGGCAGCAGUGGGGAAUUUUCCGCAAUGGGCGAAAGCCUGACGGAGCAACGCCGCGUGAGGGAUGAAGGCCUCUGGGCUGUAAACCUCUUUUAUCAAGGAAGAAGAUCUGACGGUACUUGAUGAAUAAGCCACGGCUAAUUCCGUGCCAGCAGCCGCGGUAAUACGGGAGUGGCAAGCGU